GUGCCAGCAGCCGCGGUAAUACGUAGGUGGCAAGCGUUAUCCGGAAUUAUUGGGCGUAAAGCGCGCGUAGUCGGUUUUUUAAGUCUGAUGUGAAAGCCCACGGCUCAACCGUGGGGGGUCAUUGGAAACUGGAAAACUUGAGUGCAGAAGAGGAAAGUGGAAUUCCAUGUGUAGCGGUGAAAUGCGCAGAGAUAUGGAGGAACACCAGUGGCGAAGGCGACUUUCUGGUCUGUAACUGACGCUGAUGUGCGAAAGCGUGGGGAUCAAACAGG
This 272-nucleotide ribosomal RNA is filed under the name uncultured Staphylococcus sp. RNAcentral's name for it is "partial 16S ribosomal RNA". It matches the Rfam family "Bacterial small subunit ribosomal RNA", at positions 505 to 776 of the family's 1533-position model. The record is from RNAcentral. Lineage: Bacteria; Bacillati; Bacillota; Bacilli; Caryophanales; Staphylococcaceae.